Molecule: long non-coding RNA, 589 nt
Filed under: Marmota monax (woodchuck)
Lineage: Eukaryota; Metazoa; Chordata; Mammalia; Rodentia; Sciuridae
Source: RNAcentral
GCAAAGUCUAUUUUCCUGUUCUCUGUCAUAGUAUAGUCCAAAAUAAUCUUGAUCAUCUCAAUAUUCCAGAAGACAUUAUGUUGGUCUAUUGCAUUUAUGUAAUUAUGCUAAUUAAACUGGUAGGGAAGUAACAGGCACUUUAAAUGCUCUUAGGCACACAUGUUAAAAAGUGGAAGAUAAACCCCAUGAAAGUUCAGAAGUAUGGGACCUUGGUGACAUUUCUAGGAGUAUGGUAAUGUGGACAUGUAGGGAUAUAGCCUAUAAAGUAAAACGGAGUUUGCUAUAGCAUGAUAUAUCCAUAACAAAAAAAGUCACAACAUUUAAUAGGCCUCUUUGAGUUUUGGAGAAGGUAAAAUAUACCAUAAUUAGUUGUGAUGCUCCACUCCACUUACUGGACAACCCAAUAGCAUGCUGAUUUUUAAUAGAAUCAAGAGUAGAGAGAAACCUCACAAAAAGUUCAAGCUAUAAUGCAAGCUUCCUUGCCACUUGGGCCCAUCACCCAAUAAAUCCAUUGGUGUUAGAAAUAUCGGGACAAAUGGAAAAUUUUAUGGAAUUCUAGCAGUUGAAUUAUGGCAAGGACCCCAGGGCU